Molecule: ribosomal RNA, 419 nt
Filed under: bacterium
Lineage: Bacteria
Description: partial 16S ribosomal RNA
Rfam family: Bacterial small subunit ribosomal RNA
Source: RNAcentral
UGGGGGAUAUUGCACAAUGGGCGCAAGCCUGAUGCAGCGACGCCGCGUGGGGGAUGAAGGCCUUCGGGUUGUAAACUUCUUUUGCUCUGAACAAGGCGCACUUUGGGGUGUGUUGAGUGUAGGGGUUGAUUAGCGCCGGCUAACUACGUGCCAGCAGCCGCGGUAAUACGUAGGGCGCGAGCGUUGUCCGGAAUUAUUGGGCGUAAGGGGCUUGUAGGUGGCUGGUUGCGUCUGUCGUGAAAGCUCAUGGCUUAACUGUGGGUUUGCGGUGGGUACGGGCUGGCUUGAGUGCAGUAGGGGAGGCUGGAAUUCCUGGUGUAGCGGUGGAAUGCGCAGAUAUCAGGAGGAAUACCGGUGGCGAAGGCGGGUCUCUGGGCUGUUACUGACACUGAGGAGCGAAAGCAUGGGGAGCGAACAGG